Long non-coding RNA from Pteropus alecto (black flying fox), 5143 nucleotides. RefSeq lists it as uncharacterized. NCBI's taxonomy places the organism in Eukaryota, Metazoa, Chordata, Mammalia, Chiroptera, Pteropodidae. The transcript has 3 exons. The record is from RefSeq and is a predicted model, not a curated record.
AAAGCUGGGCCAGGAACAGCAGAGAUUUAGGAUGAAAUAAAAUUUAAACCCUUCAUUUAGCUCCGUGACGGUGGAUAUCAUGGACACAUCAAUGAAGUCCCUGCCUCAGUUCCUCAGCUGUCAAAUGAGCUCUAAGCGAAAGACAUGAGGCCUAAGACUGACAAUGAGGUUGUUUUGAGGCCAUCUGAUUUCUGACUAGAAGGUGUGCGAUCGCCUCGUCCUGAAACCACUUCAGACACAAUGGUUUGCAAUUUUUUUUGGUGAUGGCAUGUUCAGAAUCUUGGAUCCCUAAGUUGAAUAUGUUGGAAAUAUUUAGGAACCCUGGAAAUUGUUGUUUUUGCAUAUAUAAUGACUCAGUAGGUAAAUCAGUAGAUAUAAUAAAAAGUAUAUAAAAGAAUAGGUUUAUAAGUCUGUAUUUCUAAGUUGGCAUGCAUGUCUCAAAUUCUCGGCUGUCAGUAUUAAUGUCGUACCCCAGAGACAGUUAUCUUUUGAAGAUCUGAGGAUUUUUAUGGGCCUCAUAUUUUCCCAGACAGUUGAUAUAAUCCUCCCAUGUCGAUUUGGUCAGCUUCUUUUUUUUUCUACCUACUUUGCUAGUGUAGCUUACUUAGAGCAGAGAUAAUUACUUAUGAGGAAGAGGGAAGAGAAAAAAAUCAUGAAGUGGAAAUCCUAAAGGUAGUAAUUAUAAAAUUUCAACCUGGAAGUGGCCUCAGAAUGGUCUGUGUUUAGAAUAUGCAAAUUAUACCCAAAUUAUACCCAAAUUGCUUAUGGCAAUUGCUGUCAAUUUUUGAAAUAGAUACUGUUACGCAGCACAAGUGCUAAUGAGGAGGGAAGAGAGCAGUUCAUUUUCACCUCCCUCUCCUCCCUAUUGUUGAGUGAAUGAAUUCCUGGAUAGUAAAAUGGCCAAAGGGCAGAUAGUGUGAAUGAAGAGGAGAAGGAACAAAACUUUAAGCCCAAGGAUUAUUUCCCCUUAAAAAAAUUGAAAGUUGGCUGCAUUCCAUGUACCUCAACACACUUUUAAAACUAGGCUGCUUUCAUGUAGACCCAGAACUUGAACUUGGGCAUUCUUAGCCAUAGGAAUGGAUGGAGACCUGUAUCUCAUGUGAUACCAUACAGUCUGUGGGUGACCGGAGUGCCAUUGUCCAUGGUUUUCUUUUUCUCUGCCCUAUUCUUGCUGGAAUUAAGAGAUGUGAGGAACAAUCUGGGGCAGAUAGUUAUUUUGAUGGUCAAAUGUGACUGCCUCUUUACUCUUUUGACCACAACUGGGGAAAGAUUGAUUUUUAUGGCCAUAACCAGAGCAAGUUGAAAAAGACUCAGAAGGAAAGGAUGAGGAGAAUUCAAGGAACUAUAGAGACUGAGUGGUAGGUAGCUCAACAGAGUAGAAUGUUAGUUAGUUUUAUUGCUGUUAGUUUAUCAUUGUUAGAUUAUCCUAUAUUACUAAUAUCCUAUAUUAGUAAUAUAGAAAUAGCUGUAUAAAAGAAAUUUUUUUAAAAAUAACAUUUCUGUUAAAAGGCUUUUAGAAACUAAAUCAGCUACACCAUAACUAUCACCCUUCCCCUUUGCUUUGCUUUCCUUUAAAGGGAAUCGGCUGACAGAUAUUUAAUAUAUGGCACAAUGAAAAUGUUAGAUUUUUUUAAAAUCAAGUUAUAUUUUUAUUUUAAAUGUAUAUUGUCUAUUUAGCUGCUUUUCCCUAUUACAACUGGCUUUUUAAAAACUUUCCUUCUGUGAUACUUUUGUCAAUAGAGGUAUUUCCUCUUAGCCAAUUCUAGCCACAGUAUUGACUGGGCCUGAGCAUUUGAUAUGCCCAGAAGGAAUUAGACAGGCAGGAAAAAACUUGGUCCCUCCUAGAAUUAAUAUUUUAAAGACCUUCUUAGAUUCUGAACACUGAGUACAAAUGAAUGAGACCCAAGAGAGGGAAAAAUUUAAGAGCUUAAGAAUAAAAAAUGAUGGUGGGGGAUGGAGUGUGUACUCUUAAGUAACCUAAGAGAAGGGAAUCGUUUUCCUGGAAUUAGGAGGUAGUGUGCGGAACCCCGGGGACAGUGGGUAUUGUGAUCUUAGUUCGAGUAAUUCACACUAGUGCGGUAGUAUUUUAAGGAUCGUGGCAGGUGAUCUUGGGAAACACUGAUGCAUUUCCUGACAGUGGAUUUGAUUUCGUUCUGGUAUGUUAUAAGUGUACUGUGUGACUCAAAGAUGAACUUAAUUCAAAAUAAAUAUCUUAGCUGUCAGAGAAAAAACUAUAAAAAUGAGUCUUUUGUCCGUUGUAUAACUUUCGAAAAUAAUGUAGAAUACUGAGUAUAUAGUACAGAAUUAAUAACAUGAAUUCAAUUAGUAGUUCAUGUAUGCUUUCCAGAAACUUCUAAAUAAAACCUUAAAUUUGUUUAAUGUUGGCCUCAGUUGUACUAAACAGUAUUUUAGUACAUGUCUCAUGGGAAAAUAUGCAUCUUCUUGGGUCACCACACUUAGUCUGUCAUAUCACUGUGAGAAUUCAGAAAUCUGACUCAAUUUAUCCAAGGAUGAACGGGUCUUUGUAAGUUGGGUACAGUAAGUACGUAUGAACGGGCACACAGAAAAAGUGAGCCUUGAAGAAUGGUUCUUUGUAUUUUGGAAGUUUUAGACCAAAAUCCGAAGAAAGCUACGGAUCCUUUCCCCAACCAGACUGCAACUUCUGAGGGGAAAGGGACAGCCCUUCAUUGUCAGGCCAGGAAGCCCUGAUCUAAAUGAUCAUCUUCACGUCUGACCUGGCUCUGACUUUGUUGUCACUUUCCAAUAGUGGUUCUCUAUCACCUUUGAAUAAAGCAUCAGAUCUUUACGGUCGCUUACUGCCUCACACGUUGAACAUUAGCCAUAAGUUUAGAGCUUUGUCAUAAUGGAACAAAAACACCCCGCCAAGCGCUUCCACCCAAGCGAAAGUGGUGAAAAGAGCCACGCCCUCCUCGGUGGUGCCACCUCCUGCUAAUGCAGGGCGCCCGUUUCAUGGUAAUUUGAUUGUUAAUGUUUUGUUUUUAAAAGUGAGCGUGUUUCUUCUAAAAUUUUUAAUUAUUAUAAAAGGUUUUUACCUCUUUUUUCAUGUCUUAGGAUAUCAAAUCCGUGGUUUAAAAUGUGUACUUGAAAUUAACAUAGUGACUUGAAAUUUGGAAUUUUGUUAUUUUGUGAUUCUGAAAUUUGUAGCACAUUUUCAGGAAAACUGUUGAGAUUCCCGGGUAAUUUGUUCUUUGUUUCUUUCAAGUUUCCUGAAUGUAUUAUUAUUUCUGAAUUUUAUUAGUCCAUUUAUAAGUUUAGAGAAAACUCUUCAGUUCAUAUGUUGACACAAAAUGGAUGAAUUUGAUUUAUAUUAUUAGAAAUGUGUUUUGACAAAAAUUUCCAUUUGAGUGGCUCUAAUCUCCAGAUUGGAAUCUCAGAUCACCUGCUUGUUAUGUCAUUCAUUGGGACUUUUCUGCAUAAUACUGCUUCACUGAGAAGUCAUCCUUGAAAAAUAAAGAUAUCCGAAGAAACUUAUUUUGGGACUGAGUAGAGAGAUUGAAGAGCAUCAUCAACUUGACAACACAGAACACUCUGGAAACAUCCUAGACUGUAUUGCUUUUGUACUUGAAACACAAUUUGACUGUCUUAUGAAUUGGACCUAUAGAUAUAAAACAGCCUCAUAAAAUGUAUCUUUAACAUAAGAAGAACACAAGUCUAGCCUUUAAAACACUUCUGUCAGUGCAGUCUACUCCUGAUUAAUUACAUUGGUGGAGGAGAACCUGAUCAUUCAUCUUGUCUGAAAGUUAGACAGUCACGUAUUCUGGGUUUGAAGGUGUUUUGUAUUUCUUUUUGGAAUGUAGUAUUUGGGGCUUUUACAACGUGUGCCUCACAAUUUCACGUUCCCUGGGAGAGGAGCUUGAGUUAAUCCAUGUCCCGAUACUUGUUCUCUGUCCUCUUUUGUACUGUCGACUUAAAUGUAGGGGAAAUAUCGAGUGUAUAGGAUUCCAAAACUGACUAGAAUCCUGUUAGGUUUAUCCUGCUUACCCUCCCCACGUAAUUUUGUUGCAUUUCCUUUCCACCUCUAAUAAAUGCUGCCCAAUUUUAGUCCCUUUGUUAGGUCGAGAUAGAAUUGUAACCACACUGUCGAGGCUUCUUCCUCCUGUUGUCCUGUUUCAUUCUGCCUUCGAUGGGAGGUAUUCAGUUGCCACUUGUGUCUUUUCAUUUCCAUGUUCCUUUCUGCAUGUUCUUAUGGGGAAAUAAAAUAGGUCUAGAUUUAGAGAUAUUGGCUAUCCAGCGUUUGCAUAUAAAAAUUCAUAGCACUGUAUUUAAAAUUUAGCUUUUUAGCUGUGGUGUUGACAGUAGUCUCCAUUGGUCAUCUGCUCAGUGCUGGACACUGCUGGAUGUGGUUGUCUACUCUUCUUCUCCACCACCCUGUUCUCUUGAGGCCAGGAAUGAACCUCUUCAUGCAUCAGGCAGGGGAAGAACCAGAACUGACUUCUAUGUAAAAUAAAGCUUGCUAGUUCUAGAGUCAUGAGUUAAUGAGAUAAUUAAAGAGAUCCAUGUGUUCCCCCUGGAUGCUAGUAAAAACAAAUCACGUGCAGAGGGAAGUGAUCAAGUCAGUGAGAUUUUGAAAGCAAGAUUUGUCCAAAAAAAAAAAAAAUCCAAAUUUUAGGUUAACCUAGAGGAACCCACAUUGACUAUUCAGGUAUGUCUUUGAAAAAUAGCAUACUCCUUUAAAAACAUUACCAAAUUACCUGACACAUUCAAAAUAUGAUAUUCUAAAAAAUUUUUUACACAGAAUUUUUCAGAAGCACGUGCAAAUAUGUUUGUGUAAAAGUAUGUACGAUAUAUAAUCACUUUCUGACUCUUGCUCUAAUAAAAAACUUUUAAAUGGUCUCAUUGUUUAAGAGCUAAUAGCUUGAAAUUAUUCUCAGUAAAAUUUUACAGCAUAUGAUACUAUAUUUUACUUUUCAUGUUAAUGUACACGUAUCUUUAAAAGAUGCUUAGAAUUGUUUGUUUUCUACAUGUAAAAAUACUGUAAACAAGGUCCAUGUCUCCAGUAAGAGUUUCUGAACUUUUGGCUGUAAUUACUAGGUGAUUGGGCUGAGGCCGGCUGGAAAUGCAUGUUGAGCUUUUCUAUGUAUGUGGCAAACUCUGUGCAAAUAAAGUAGCUUUGUACUCUGAA